GAGGGAAAGAGGGAGGAAAGGAGGAAUGAAGGAGGGAGGGAUGCGCACGGGAGGGACGGAGGGAGGGAGGGAGGGCUGCCGAAGAAAGGGGGCACGCAGGAGGACGAGAAGAAAGGGGGCGCGGGGGGCGACGCCGGGGGAGCGAGGCCGGGGGUUUCCUCCGGCCCUCGUGCUGCCCGUUGACCGCCAUGCCGUGGUGGCUCUGGAGGAGCACUGGUUGAGGCAGGGCUCGCCGUGGUGUGGUGUGGUGAAAGAAGUGGAGGGUUUGUGGGGCUGGCAGCGGCCAAGCCUGCUAGCGCCAUUUUGAUUUGGGAGAACAUUGGUGGUACUGCACACGUGUGGAUGACAAAGCUUUUGAUCGAUCUUCAAUUCAGGCCUCUGGAAUAAGGGAAAUAUGGAAAUACCAAGCCUUUUCAUUGAAGACAAAUAAAACAA
This is a long non-coding RNA of Cygnus olor (mute swan), 435 nucleotides long. RefSeq lists it as uncharacterized. NCBI's taxonomy places the organism in Eukaryota, Metazoa, Chordata, Aves, Anseriformes, Anatidae. The transcript has 2 exons. The record is from RefSeq and is a predicted model, not a curated record.